AGAGUUUGAUUAUGGCUCAGGAUGAACGCUAGUUACAGGCUUAACACAUGCAAGUCGAGGGGCAGCGAGAGUGUAGCAAUACACUUGUCGGCGACCGGCGCACGGGUGAGUAACGCGUAUCCAACCUGGCCCAUAGUAGGGGAUAGCCCGGCGAAAGUCGGAUUAAUACCCUAUGUUUUCCUUUGAGAGCAUUUGAAGAGGAACAAAGAUUCAUCGCUAUGGGAUGGGGAUGCGUCCGAUUAGCUUGCCGGCGGGGUAACGGCCCACCGGGGCUACGAUCGGUAGGGGUUCUGAGAGGAAGGUCCCCCACAUUGGUACUGAGACACGGACCAAACUCCUACGGGAGGCAGCAGUGAGGAAUAUUGGUCAAUGGGCGCGAGCCUGAACCAGCCAAAGUAGCGUGCAGGAAGACGGCCCUACGGGUUGUAAACUGCUUUUGCCGGGGAAUAAAGUGCGCCACGUGUGGUGUUUUGUAUGUACCCGGAGAAUAAGGACCGGCUAAUUCCGUGCCAGCCGCCGC
This 520-nucleotide ribosomal RNA is filed under the name uncultured bacterium. RNAcentral's name for it is "bacterial SSU rRNA". It matches the Rfam family "Bacterial small subunit ribosomal RNA", at positions 8 to 518 of the family's 1533-position model. The record is from RNAcentral.